Molecule: long non-coding RNA, 277 nt
Organism: Physeter macrocephalus (sperm whale)
Lineage: Eukaryota; Metazoa; Chordata; Mammalia; Artiodactyla; Physeteridae
Exons: 3
Source: RefSeq, a predicted model, not a curated record
AGAACGACAACAUGAUCAAACGCAUGUUCAAAACCAACUUGAAAAAUUGCAUCUUCUUGAACAGGAGUAUAACAAGCUUACCACGAUGCAGGCCCUUGCAGAAAAAAAAAGGCAAGAGUUAGAAGCAAAACUCCAUCAAGAAGAACAGGAAAGGAAACGUAUGCAAGCUAAGGCAGCCCAGACUGGUCUAGAAACAAAUAGACUUAUCUUUGAAGAUAAGGCAACUUCAUGUGUUCCCAAUGCAAAAAGAAUUUUAAAAAGGAAGUCAAAACCACCA